AUUGAACGCUGGCGGCAGGCCUAACACAUGCAAGUCGAGCGGAUGAAGGGAGCUUGCUCCUGGAUUCAGCGGCGGACGGGUGAGUAAUGCCUAGGAAUCUGCCUGGUAGUGGGGGAUAACGUCCGGAAACGGGCGCUAAUACCGCAUACGUCCUGAGGGAGAAAGUGGGGGAUCUUCGGACCUCACGCUAUCAGAUGAGCCUAGGUCGGAUUAGCUAGUUGGUGGGGUAAAGGCCUACCAAGGCGACGAUCCGUAACUGGUCUGAGAGGAUGAUCAGUCACCCUGGAACUGAGACACGGUCCAGACUCCUACGGGAGGCAGCAGUGGGGAAUAUUGGACAAUGGGCGAAAGCCUGAUCCAACCAUGCCGCGUGUGUGAAGAAGGUCUUCGGAUUGUAAAGCACUUUAAGUUGGGAGGAAGGGCAGUAAGUUAAUACCUUGCUGUUUUGACGUUACCAACAGAAUAAGCACCGGCUAACUUCGUG
Molecule: ribosomal RNA, 484 nt
Filed under: uncultured bacterium
Lineage: Bacteria
Description: partial 16S ribosomal RNA
Rfam family: Bacterial small subunit ribosomal RNA
Source: RNAcentral